This is a non-coding RNA of Drosophila melanogaster (fruit fly), 408 nucleotides long. Lineage: Eukaryota; Metazoa; Arthropoda; Insecta; Diptera; Drosophilidae. The record is from Ensembl.
AUUGUUGCCAAAAGACUAAUAUGAGUGAUAUAUAUCUAUAUUUAUUCAUUAUUAAGACAAGUGAUAAAUUGGAAUUUAAAGAAGAUAUUUGGGAAUAAGACAUUUACCCUCAAAUGGUAACUUCGUAGAACAUCUGGAGCACUUAUAUUAACCUUAGAAUUAGAUUUGAGAACUAGAAGAGCGACUCCCUGGGAUAAAAUGUAUCCCAAACGGCUAGGCAAUCGGACUCCGGCAAAUCUCGCAUCUCAAGAUCGUGGCUAAUGUUGAAGCACUUCUCCACGGCAUUUUCUUUAAGCUGGACGGCUUCCCAUUUGGCAGAUCCCAGUUCUGGGCAAUUUGGAUUCCCACUGGAGGCAAACGACGUCCACAUGCCAACCAUUCUCUCAAUGGUUUUGUAUUCCAUCGAUG